CCUACGGGUGGCAGCAGUGAGGAAUAUUGGUCAAUGGACGCUAGCCUGAACCAGCCAAGUAGCGUGAAGGAUGACUGCCCUAUGGGUUGUAAACUUCUUUUAUAUGGGAAUAAAAUGUUCCACGUGUAGUGUUUUGUAUGUACCAUAUGAAUAAGGAUCGGCUAACUCCGUGCCAGCAGCCGCGGUAAUACGGAGGAUCCGAGCGUUAUCCGGAUUUAUUGGGUUUAAAGGGAGCGUAGGUGGAUUGUUAAGUCAGUUGUGAAAGUUUGCGGCUCAACCGUAAAAUUGCAGUUGAUACUGGCAGUCUUGAGUACAGUAGAGGUAGGCGGAAUUCGUGGUGUAGCGGUGAAAUGCUUAGAUAUCACGAAGAACUCCGAUUGCGAAGGCAGCUCACUGGACUGCAACUGACACUGAGGCUCGAAAGUGUGGGUAUCAAACAGGAUUAGAUACCCCAGUAGUC
This 460-nucleotide ribosomal RNA is filed under the name uncultured bacterium. RNAcentral's name for it is "partial 16S ribosomal RNA". It matches the Rfam family "Bacterial small subunit ribosomal RNA", at positions 338 to 795 of the family's 1533-position model. The record is from RNAcentral.